RNAcentral lists this ribosomal RNA (525 nucleotides) under uncultured bacterium. RNAcentral's name for it is "bacterial SSU rRNA". It matches the Rfam family "Bacterial small subunit ribosomal RNA", at positions 380 to 896 of the family's 1533-position model. The record is from RNAcentral.
AGUCUGACGGAGCAACGCCGCGUGAGCGAUGAAGGCCUUCGGGUCGUAAAGCUCUGUUGUUAGGGAAGAACAAGUAUCGGAGUAACUGCCGGUACCUUGACGGUACCUAACCAGAAAGCCACGGCUAACUACGUGCCAGCAGCCGCGGUAGUACGUAGGUGGCAAGCGUUGUCCGGAAUUAUUGGGCGUAAAGCGCGCGCAGGCGGUCCUUUAAGUCUGAUGUGAAAGCCCACGGCUCAACCGUGGAGGGUCAUUGGAAACUGGGGGACUUGAGUACAGAAGAGGAAAGCGGAAUUCCACGUGUAGCGGUGAAAUGCGUAGAGAUGUGGAGGAACACCAGUGGCGAAGGCGGCUUUCUGGUCUGUAACUGACGCUGAGGCGCGAAAGCGUGGGGAGCAAACAGGAUUAGAUACCCUGGUAGUCCACGCCGUAAACGAUGAGUGCUAAGUGUUAGAGGGUUUCCGCCCUUUAGUGCUGCAGCUAACGCAUUAAGCACUCCGCCUGGGGAGUACGGCCGCAAGGCUG